This 67-nucleotide microRNA precursor is filed under the name Bombyx mori (domestic silkworm). Its description in RNAcentral is "mir-2774 microRNA precursor family". It matches the Rfam family "mir-2774 microRNA precursor family". Lineage: Eukaryota; Metazoa; Arthropoda; Insecta; Lepidoptera; Bombycidae. The record is from Rfam by way of RNAcentral.
ACAAUAUUAGGACCUUCGGUCUACCGAGCAAUAUCACCCACUCGGUGGUAGAUCUUCCCAUUUUCUG